UACGUAGGGGGCAAGCGUUGUCCGGAUUUAUUGGGCGUAAAGAGCGUGUAGGCGGUUAUGCAGGUCCGUUGUGAAAACUCGAGGCUCAACCUCGAGACGCCGAUGGAAACCAUCUGACUAGAGUCCGGAAGAGGAGAGUGGAAUUCCUGGUGUAGCGGUGAAAUGCGCAGAUAUCAGGAGGAACACCGGUGGCGAAGGCGCCACUCUGGGCCGGUACUGACGCUGAGGAGCGAAAGCGUGGGUAGCAAACAGG
This 253-nucleotide ribosomal RNA is filed under the name uncultured bacterium. RNAcentral describes it as "partial 16S ribosomal RNA". It matches the Rfam family "Bacterial small subunit ribosomal RNA", at positions 524 to 776 of the family's 1533-position model. The record is from RNAcentral.